UCUCAUUAGGUCUUUUAUGGGUUGUAACGUGGCUUAAGGCAUAAGGUGCGAAUUUUUGGUACGAGGCUAAGGUCAUUCUGAACUUCAUUCUGGGCAACAAACUUCCCAGAUUUUUAAGAUCCCUGCCUAUUCUUGCGGGCUUAAGCACAUACUGACCAAGACAUUAACUCUUUUUUUUUAAUUUUCUUUUUUCUUUUUCUUUUGGACUUUUUCUUUAUUUUGGCAUUAGAUGUCCCAUUUUACAAUUUUUGCACUAGUCCUACCCAUAGGAUUCACUACACUAUCUCCCUUUCAUUUGCCCUCAAGUUCAGUUUGACCGGGACGGCUCAAAUCUAGGCAAAUUUAUAAGUUAAUUCAAAUGAAUUAUUAAGCUCAAAAGGGCUCACAAGUGAUAGAUGUAGGGUUGGUCAGUUUGGCUUUGUGGGCUAAAGAAAGAAGUGC
Molecule: long non-coding RNA, 441 nt
Filed under: Salvia miltiorrhiza (redroot sage)
Lineage: Eukaryota; Viridiplantae; Streptophyta; Magnoliopsida; Lamiales; Lamiaceae
Description: long non-coding RNA (SMIL_LNC013607)
Source: RNAcentral